CCUACGGGUGACUGCAGUAGGGAAUUUUCGUCAAUGGGCGCAAGCCUGAACGAGCAAUGCCGCGUGAACGAGGAAGGUCUUCGGAUCGUAAAGUUCUGUUGAAGGGGUAAAAGAGCGGAGAGAGGAAAUGAACUCCGAUUGAUAUUACCCUUCGAGGAAGUCACGGCUAACUACGUGCCAGCAGCCGCGGUAAUACGUAGGUGGCGAGCGUUAGCCGGAAUGAUUGGGCGUAAGGGGGGCGUAGGCGGCCUGCUAAGUCGGGAGUGAAAGGUACCGGCUCAACCGGUAUAGGCUCUGGAAACUGGCGGGCUAGAGAGCAGGAGAGGGCGGUGGAACUCCAUGUGUAGCGGUAAAAUGCGUAGAGAUAUGGAAGAACACCAGUGGCGAAGGCGGCCGCCUGGCCUGUUACUGACGCUGAGGCACGAAAGCGUGGGGAGCAAAUAGGAUUAGAUACCCCAGUAGUC
This 464-nucleotide ribosomal RNA is filed under the name uncultured bacterium. RNAcentral's name for it is "partial 16S ribosomal RNA". It matches the Rfam family "Bacterial small subunit ribosomal RNA", at positions 338 to 795 of the family's 1533-position model. The record is from RNAcentral.